This 115-nucleotide ribosomal RNA is filed under the name Proteus mirabilis. Lineage: Bacteria; Pseudomonadati; Pseudomonadota; Gammaproteobacteria; Enterobacterales; Morganellaceae. The record is from RNAcentral.
UGGCGGCCAUAGCGCGGUGGUCCCACCUGAUCCCAUGCCGAACUCAGAAGUGAAACGCCGUAGCGCCGAUGGUAGUGUGGGGUCUCCCCAUGUGAGAGUAGGGGACUGCCAAGCA